RNAcentral lists this transfer RNA (65 nucleotides) under Scriptaphyosemion chaytori. RNAcentral's name for it is "tRNA-Cys". It matches the Rfam family "tRNA". From Rfam's summary of the family: Transfer RNA (tRNA) molecules are approximately 80 nucleotides in length. Their secondary structure includes four short double-helical elements and three loops (D, anti-codon, and T loops). Further hydrogen bonds mediate the characteristic L-shaped molecular structure. tRNAs have two regions of fundamental functional importance: the anti-codon, which is responsible for specific mRNA codon recognition, and the 3' end, to which the tRNAs corresponding amino acid is attached (by aminoacyl-tRNA synthetases). tRNAs cope with the degeneracy of the genetic code in two manners: having more than one tRNA (with a specific anti-codon) for a particular amino acid; and 'wobble' base-pairing, i.e. permitting non-standard base-pairing at the 3rd anti-codon position. Lineage: Eukaryota; Metazoa; Chordata; Actinopteri; Cyprinodontiformes; Nothobranchiidae. The record is from RNAcentral.
AGUCCUGAGGUGUUCACAUAUUAGAUUGCAAAUCUAAAGUCGCAGGGUUAAGCCUGCCGGGACUU